Drosophila albomicans is the source of this 427-nucleotide long non-coding RNA. RefSeq lists it as uncharacterized. The record is from RefSeq and is a predicted model, not a curated record. NCBI's taxonomy places the organism in Eukaryota, Metazoa, Arthropoda, Insecta, Diptera, Drosophilidae. The transcript is spliced from 3 exons.
CGUAAAUAUUCUUUUUUUUUCUCAGUGUACCCAUAUACCUAAACAUAGACACUGAUACAGAUGACUGGGGCCUUUGAGGGCGCCGUGUUUCAACAGACUCAUUAAAUGCUUUCAAUUUCCAAAAGCAAAAUUAAAUUUAAAGACUUUCAUGAAACGCGCGCGAAUUAAUGAGGCGAUUACUUCAAGCGCAUAAAAGUGAAAAAACAACGACAACAACAACGAAAAGGAAAAGCAAAAAAACAAAAUGAAAUAAAGGAAGCGAAAGAAAAACCCCAAGACGUGAUGUGGUUCUGGAGCAGCAAUCGCUUGCUUCGGCUUCGAGUGGGAUACAUAUUUGUUUUCGCCUUGCCUCCGUCAGCGGAUGAGAGAUUUACAGACAGACGUCGCUGUUGCUUCCAUGACGAUGAUGAUGAUUGUGAUGAUGAUG